UCAUUGUAUUUUCACCUUUUCUCACCCCUUUUCCUUUCCCCAUCUCUCUGCAGGGUGCUCCAGGAGAAGCAGGCAUGUCUAUCAUUGGGCCCCGUGGUCCACCCGGACAGCCUGGAACAAGAGGUUUUCCUGGAUUCCCGGUAAGUGUAACUGCUAGAUUGAUGAGGUACGUGUGUGUGGUAUUACUAUGAAGUGUCAUUAGUGCUUGCUGUACCUUAUCAUCUGUCUGAUGCCAAGGAUCUGAUCUGAUACUCCUGGAAAAAGUAAUUUUUUCUUCAUUUGCUUUCUUUUUUUUAUGUUUCUUUUUUUCUUUCCUUUUUUUUUUUUUUUUUUUUUAAAUUUUAAGUGAUGCUUAGGGAAAAAAAAAACAAAACAAACUAACCGUAGUAUGCUAAAAGGAAAUUAAUUUAAAAAAACAAAAACAUAAGUGUUAAAAUAACAUAGUUGAAGCCCAAUCGGUUUAGUAAAAGAAAACCAUCCUGAGAAAAUACUCCCCAAACAAAGAAAAUAACCCUUGGGUACGUGAAAUUCCAACCUUAGUUGAGCUUUUAGGUGAUUUUGUAGUAGCAGUGAGCAUCUGAAAUCCAAACAGGG
This 594-nucleotide long non-coding RNA is filed under the name Phasianus colchicus (ring-necked pheasant). Its description in RNAcentral is "lncRNA (ENSPCLG00000010684.1)". Lineage: Eukaryota; Metazoa; Chordata; Aves; Galliformes; Phasianidae. The record is from RNAcentral.